CGUACACUCCUACGGGAGGCAGCAGUGGGGAAUAUUGGACAAUGGGCGCAAGCCUGAUCCAGCCAUGCCGCGUGAGUGAUGAAGGCCCUAGGGUUGUAAAGCUCUUUCACCGGUGAAGAUAAUGACGGUAACCGGAGAAGAAGCCCCGGCUAACUUCGUGCCAGCAGCCGCGGUAAUACGAAGGGGGCUAGCGUUGUUCGGAUUUACUGGGCGUAAAGCGCACGUAGGCGGACUAUUAAGUCAGGGGUGAAAUCCCGGGGCUCAACCCCGGAACUGCCUUUGAUACUGGUAGUCUUGAGUUCGAGAGAGGUGAGUGGAAUUCCGAGUGUAGAGGUGAAAUUCGUAGAUAUUCGGAGGAACACCAGUGGCGAAGGCGGCUCACUGGCUCGAUACUGACGCUGAGGUGCGAAAGCGUGGGGAGCAAACAGGAUUAGAAACCCCUGUAGUCCCAUGAU
This 455-nucleotide ribosomal RNA is filed under the name uncultured organism. Its description in RNAcentral is "partial 16S ribosomal RNA". It matches the Rfam family "Bacterial small subunit ribosomal RNA", at positions 330 to 801 of the family's 1533-position model. The record is from RNAcentral.